UAGGGAAUCUUCCACAAUGGACGAAAGUCUGAUGGAGCAACGCCGCGUGAGUGAUGAAGGGUUUCGGCUCGUAAAACUCUGUUGUUGGAGAAGAACGGGUGUCAGAGUAACUGUUGACAUCGUGACGGUAUCCAACCAGAAAGCCACGGCUAACUACGUGCCAGCAGCCGCGGUAAUACGUAGGUGGCAAGCGUUGUCCGGAUUUAUUGGGCGUAAAGCGAGCGCAGGCGGUUUUUUAGGUCUGAUGUGAAAGCCUUCGGCUUAACCGGAGAAGUGCAUCGGAAACCGGGAGACUUGAGUGCAGAAGAGGACAGUGGAACUCCAUGUGUAGCGGUGAAAUGCGUAGAUAUAUGGAAGAACACCAGUGGCGAAGGCGGCUGUCUGGUCUGCAACUGACGCUGAGGCUCGAAAGCAUGGGUAGCGAACAGGAUUAGAUAC
RNAcentral lists this ribosomal RNA (438 nucleotides) under uncultured bacterium. RNAcentral describes it as "partial 16S ribosomal RNA". It matches the Rfam family "Bacterial small subunit ribosomal RNA", at positions 355 to 785 of the family's 1533-position model. The record is from RNAcentral.